Molecule: long non-coding RNA, 1699 nt
Filed under: Mytilus galloprovincialis (Mediterranean mussel)
Lineage: Eukaryota; Metazoa; Mollusca; Bivalvia; Mytilida; Mytilidae
Source: RNAcentral
GUUAAUAGUUAUCAAAGGUACCAGGAUUGUAAUUUAGUACGCCAGACGCGCGUUUCGUUUAUUAUAUCAUUUUUGUUAUUUAAAAAAGUAUUUUCUUAUCAUGUUUGCGUAAAGAACGUUUUUUCUAUGGAUCUAUCUAGCUAUUAAUGAUAAUUACCAUUGUAGUAUCUUCAUAUUGAGCGCAGCUGAUCAAGUGUUCAAUCCCCAAUCAUCAUCAUCAUCACCGUGUAAGUAUAUUGACAAUAAAUUAACUGAACUACUAUUGUCCAUGUUGAUGUAUAGGAAAAGUCAAAUAUAAAUACCUUUCAUUUAAAAGAAUAUAAAUUGUUGAUUUUUUGGCACAUUUUAUAAGUUGUGUUUUUAUUAAUGAUUAUUCUUAGUAAUACUACAUUUUACAUCAAAAUUUCUUUAAAUCCAGUCUGAGUUACGUUACAAGAAAAAAUAAUGUAUUUACAACUGGUUCACGUUUUUUUUUCAAAUAAGUAUCUAUGCUACUGAAAUAACGAGGCUAAAUUUGUUAGCCGGUAUGACGUUAUUUAUCUAACUUAUAUAUAUUUCUAAUAUAGGACAGCAGAAUAAAUCAAAGAUUCCACCAUUCAUGGCCUUUUAGUUUUCCACAGAAUUGAUAUUACCAAAAAUGUAUCAGUUCCGGGACAAAUGUCGCCUGUUUCCGGUUGUAUAUAUAAGAGGAAAAAAACGAUGUAAAUGUGGUAUAAGUGCCAAUUCAACAAUUCUCCAUCCAAGUCACAAUGUGUAAAAAGUAAACAUUUUUGGUCCAAGUUCGUCCUUCAACACGGCUCACAAAAAACAGCAAGCUAUGAUUAAGGCCCUCGAAAUGGUUAGUAAAAAAACAAUUCAAACAGGAAAGACAAAGGUUUAAUUGAUAUUUGUUUUAAAAGAGAAACAAAACCACUUAUAAACCUCAUCAACAAACGAUGCAAACGAAUGCAGCGGCUUUAAGCGUUUCAACGGUCGCCAACAUUUAACCUAACCUGAACCGGUAGCUUACCAUUACAACAUAGAAAGACACACUCUUAGAUAACAAUUGAAAUAAAUUCUCGAUCAAAAAACGUAUUUACAAAACAAGUUAACAUUUACUAAAGGAAUAAGUGUGAUCUAUGACACGUAAUACAAUAUAAAUAAAAAGAGGGUGUAAAACAAUGUAAACAAGACGACUAUAUCCUGGGAUAAAAUAUAUGUAUGUUUGUUUUUUAUGUUUUUCCUUUUGUAGGAGCUCCAUAGUUUGUUAUGGUGUAACGAAGAACAUUUAACACACUGUAUCUGUACAAACGACAUGGCAAAGAAGGGGAAACAGAUAAGGAUACACUGUAGUAAGAAAACCAGGACGAGUUCAAGAAGACACUUUUGAAAAAUCCACCUUAUAAUCACCAUGACUUUAUGAGAUGAUAAUACGAUUUCUAAAAAUUAUGGCUUAAAAUAAUGCGUAGAGACUUUAAUUCAGUCAAGGACCCGCAAUGUCGCGGAAGUGUUAUAGUUCAAUAUAAAAUUGAAAUGAAAUGAAGGAGGAUGUUAUUAAACUCGUAAAGGCUAGACUUAAUAUUUCUUAACAGAUUUAGAUAUUGCUUUUUAAUUGGACUUAUGAUGAUAUAGCUAUCAAUUCAUUUAUUCUAAAUCGGAAGAAUUCAUGAUAAAUGAAUCAAAAGAAAUGAAAGUUUUAACAUCGGUAAUUGUAAAGGAA